AGUGAACGCUGGCGGUAGGCCUAACACAUGCAAGUCGAACGGCAGCACAGUAAGAGCUUGCUCUUACGGGUGGCGAGUGGCGGACGGGUGAGGAAUACAUCGGAAUCUACUUUUUCGUGGGGGAUAACGUAGGGAAACUUACGCUAAUACCGCAUACGACCUACGGGUGAAAGCAGGGGAUCUUCGGACCUUGCGCGAUUGAAUGAGCCGAUGUCGGAUUAGCUAGUUGGCGGGGUAAAGGCCCACCAAGGCGACGAUCCGUAGCUGGUCUGAGAGGAUGAUCAGCCACACUGGAACUGAGACACGGUCCAGACUCCUACGGGAGGCAGCAGUGGGGAAUAUUGGACAAUGGGCGCAAGCCUGAUCCAGCCAUACCGCGUGGGUGAAGAAGGCCUUCGGGUUAUAAAGCCCUUUUGUUGGGAAAGAAAAGCAGCAGGUUAAUACCCCGCUGUUCUGACGGUACCCAACGAAUAAGCACCGGCUAACUUCGUG
Molecule: ribosomal RNA, 492 nt
Filed under: uncultured bacterium
Lineage: Bacteria
Description: partial 16S ribosomal RNA
Rfam family: Bacterial small subunit ribosomal RNA
Source: RNAcentral